Molecule: small RNA, 3629 nt
Filed under: Pan troglodytes (chimpanzee)
Lineage: Eukaryota; Metazoa; Chordata; Mammalia; Primates; Hominidae
Description: processed transcript
Source: RNAcentral
AUUCUGGGUCCUGGCAAUAUGGCGUCCUCCUUGAUGGGCUGAUGAGAUGAGUUUCACUGUAGCUCCAAACCAGAGGGCAAAGCUCCCCUGACCCAAUAAGCCCACGUUGUCCGUUUCCUCCGUGGUUCCGUGUCGCCCGUUUCUCAGGACUCGUUCUCAGGCAGGAGAGAGCCUCGGAGCUGAAGGCCAGGACCAGCCAGGCCGCGCGGACCUGAGGUUGAGGAACCGGGUGCAGGCGAGCACGAUGGGCCGGUCCUGGCUCUGGUUGCAGCAGCUCAGACGAGUGCGGGACCCGCAGGGCUGAGAGUGGCUGGAGGAGACCCAGGGCCCUUUGAACCCGAUCUCUUGGCCGGAGACCUCAGCCCAGUCGGCCCAGUGGGCGAACCGGCACCAAGAGCGGCCUGUCUUCGGAACUGCUGAGGCGGUGGAGGCCGAGAGCAGGGUCAUCGUGAGGCCUGAAGUCUCUUACGCUUUUGGUAGCUCCCCUCGCAGCCCCUCUGGAAACGUACAGCCUCAGGAGCAGCCAGUGGCUUGGGACCUGGGGUGGUGUGUGUCUGCGGAGCUUCUUGGGCUGCCCCAUUUCCUAGCGGCCCCCACCUCCCCACUUCCCGCUCAGAGUUAGAGAUAAGGAUCUCAGACUUUUGCCUGAGUAAGGGUCUCCGCACUCUUUAUCCAUUUGGUUUUCGAUUUCCCGUUUUUGUUUCUUAUUUCACCAAUUCUGGUACACGCUAGUUUUUAAGGCUGGAGGUUCUCGAGCGCUUGCUGCCAAGGACUCCCCCACCCCCUCCCCCACUGAUGGAGUCCGAAAUGCUGCAAUCGCCUCUUCUGGGCCUGGGGGAGGAAGAUGAGGCUGAUCUUACAGACUGGAACCUACCUUUGGCUUUUAUGAAAAAGAGGCACUGUGAGAAAAUUGAAGGCUCCAAAUCCUUAGCUCAGAGCUGGAGGAUGAAGGAUCGGAUGAAGACAGUCAGUGUUGCCUUGGUUUUGUGCCUGAAUGUUGGUGUGGACCCUCCCGAUGUGGUGAAGACCACGCCCUGUGCACGCUUGGAAUGCUGGAUCGAUCCUCUGUCGAUGGGUCCUCAGAAAGCUCUGGAAACCAUCGGUGCAAAUUUACAGAAGCAGUACGAGAACUGGCAGCCAAGGGCCCGGUACAAGCAGAGCCUUGACCCAACUGUGGAUGAAGUCAAGAAGCUCUGCACGUCCUUACGUCGCAACGCCAAGGAGGAGCGAGUCCUCUUUCACUACAAUGGCCACGGGGUGCCCCGGCCCACAGUCAACGGGGAGGUCUGGGUCUUCAACAAGAACUACACGCAGUACAUCCCUCUGUCCAUAUAUGACCUGCAGACGUGGAUGGGCAGCCCGUCGAUCUUCGUCUACGACUGCUCCAAUGCUGGCUUGAUCGUCAAGUCCUUCAAGCAGUUCGCACUACAGCGGGAGCAGGAGCUGGAGGUAGCUGCAAUCAACCCAAAUCACCCUCUUGCUCAGAUGCCUUUGCCUCCGUCGAUGAAAAACUGCAUCCAGCUGGCAGCCUGCGAGGCCACCGAGCUGCUGCCCAUGAUCCCCGACCUCCCGGCUGACCUGUUCACCUCCUGCCUCACCACCCCCAUCAAGAUCGCCCUGCGCUGGUUUUGCAUGCAGAAAUGUGUCAGUCUGGUGCCUGGCGUCACACUGGAUUUGAUAGAAAAGAUCCCUGGCCGCCUGAACGACAGGAGGACGCCCCUGGGUGAACUGAACUGGAUCUUCACAGCCAUCACAGACACCAUCGCGUGGAACGUGCUCCCCCGGGAUCUCUUCCAAAAGCUCUUCAGACAGGACUUGCUGGUGGCUAGUCUGUUUCGAAAUUUUUUAUUGGCGGAAAGGAUUAUGAGGUCGUAUAACUGCACUCCCGUCAGCAGCCCGCGUCUGCCGCCCACGUACAUGCACGCCAUGUGGCAAGCCUGGGACCUGGCUGUUGACAUCUGUCUGUCUCAGCUGCCGACGAUCAUCGAGGAAGGCACUGCGUUUCGGCACAGCCCAUUCUUCGCCGAGCAGCUGACCGCAUUCCAGGUGUGGCUCACCAUGGGCGUGGAGAACCGAAACCCACCCGAACAGCUGCCCAUCGUCCUGCAGGUGCUGUUAAGCCAAGUGCACCGGCUGAGAGCAUUGGACUUGCUUGGAAGAUUUUUGGACCUGGGUCCCUGGGCAGUGAGCCUGGCCUUGUCUGUCGGCAUCUUCCCCUACGUGCUGAAGCUGCUCCAGAGCUCGGCCCGAGAGCUGCGGCCACUUCUCGUUUUCAUCUGGGCCAAGAUCCUCGCAGUGGACAGCUCGUGCCAGGCGGACCUCGUGAAGGACAACGGCCACAAGUACUUCCUGUCGGUCCUGGCGGACCCCUACAUGCCAGCGGAACACAGGACCAUGACGGCUUUCAUUCUCGCCGUGAUCGUCAACAGCUAUCACACGGGGCAGGAAGCCUGCCUUCAGGGAAACCUCAUUGCCAUCUGCCUGGAGCAGCUCAACGACCCACACCCCUUGCUUCGCCAGUGGGUGGCCAUCUGCCUCGGCAGGAUCUGGCAGAACUUCGACUCGGCGAGGUGGUGCGGCGUGAGGGACAGCGCUCAUGAGAAGCUCUACAGCCUCCUCUCCGACCCCAUUCCCGAGGUCCGCUGUGCGGCGGUCUUCGCCCUUGGCACGUUCGUGGGCAACUCUGCAGAGAGGACGGACCACUCCACCACCAUCGACCACAACGUGGCCAUGAUGCUGGCCCAGCUGGUCAGCGACGGGAGCCCCAUGGUCCGGAAGGAGCUGGUGGUGGCUCUGAGUCAUCUCGUGGUUCAGUAUGAAAGCAAUUUCUGCACCGUGGCCCUGCAGUUCAUAGAAGAGGAAAAGAACUACGCCUUGCCUUCUCCAGCGACCACAGAGGGAGGGAGUUUGACCCCAGUGCGAGACAGCCCGUGCACCCCCAGACUUCGUUCUGUGAGCUCCUAUGGAAACAUCCGUGCUGUCGCCACAGCCAGGAGCCUCAACAAAUCUUUGCAGAACCUGAGUUUGACAGAGGAAUCUGGUGGUGCGGUGGCGUUCUCCCCCGGAAACCUCAGCACCAGCAGCAGCGCCAGCAGCACCCUGGGCAGCCCCGAGAAUGAGGAGCAUAUCCUGUCCUUCGAGACCAUCGACAAGAUGCGCCGCGCCAGCUCCUACUCCUCCCUCAACUCCCUCAUCGGAGUUUCCUUUAACAGUGUUUACACUCAGAUUUGGAGAGUCCUGCUGCACCUGGCUGCUGACCCCUAUCCAGAGGUCUCGGACGUGGCCAUGAAAGUACUCAACAGCAUCGCCUACAAGAGACAGGGUCUCAGUGUGUUGCCCAAGCUGGUCUCUAACUCCUCAGUUCAAGUGAUCCUCCUGCCUUGGCCUCCUGAAGUGCUGGGAUUACAGGCAUGAGCCACCACACCCAGACUUUUUUUCCCUUUCUGAUAGCAGUAAUUUUUGACUCAUUCAAAACCCUUCCAGUUAAUGGUUUCUUAUUCAUGGCCAUUCUAGCUAAAGGGAACUUUUCAAAGAAUCAGUUUUUGGUUUCAUUGGUUUUUCUCUGUUGUUUGUCCAUUUUCCAUUUGAUUGAAUGAGCUUUCAUCAAUAAAGCCUGCUUUCUUCUGCUU